GGGUGUAUAACUCGGUUGGUAGGGCAUUGGGAUUUUAAUCCAAUGAUCACAGGUUCAAGUCCUGCUAUACCUA
Non-coding RNA from Picea glauca (white spruce), 73 nucleotides. The record is from Rfam. NCBI's taxonomy places the organism in Eukaryota, Viridiplantae, Streptophyta, Pinopsida, Pinales, Pinaceae.